Ictalurus punctatus (channel catfish) is the source of this 449-nucleotide long non-coding RNA. NCBI's taxonomy places the organism in Eukaryota, Metazoa, Chordata, Actinopteri, Siluriformes, Ictaluridae. The record is from Ensembl.
UGUCAUGUGGGAAGAACAAGAGGAAGGCUUUAUGUCCUGUUAUACACUCUCAGAAAAACGGAUAUCUUUCCUUUGUUCCUGUCGUUCUCCUCCCCUGACAAAAGCCGUCCAUCAGCUCUGGCCAGUUUGCAGCCGAGGAAUUCCGCCCCGGCGACAAAUCCACUUUUUUACUGCUCUCGCAGUCAGGAUCCAGUACGAGAGAGAGGUCUCUAAGGGUUACGUGAGACCCUCCAUCGUCCCUAGGAUCUGUGGUGACCUCUACAGUAGAGUGUCUAUAAAAUGGCGGACAGGAGGCUCAUCCAAACACAAACGAGCAUUCCGGACCAGAAGUCCUUUUUCCAAAUAGGUUUUCUGAGCAACUUUCUACAUUUUUUAUUCUUUCGAAAGCCAUGAUUUAAUCAAUGGAUUGUUUUGUUUUUGCUUUAAAUCAUGUUCUACAUGUCUUCCAG